Nannospalax galili (Upper Galilee mountains blind mole rat) is the source of this 327-nucleotide long non-coding RNA. RefSeq lists it as uncharacterized. The record is from RefSeq and is a predicted model, not a curated record. The transcript has 3 exons. Lineage: Eukaryota; Metazoa; Chordata; Mammalia; Rodentia; Spalacidae.
GAAUAAGGGACCUCCAGAGUGUUGGCAACACCCUGCUUCAUAAGCUGAGGGAUCAUCCACUCUGUUGUGGCUGCUGCCACUCUUCACUGACAUCUGCUGCUUCAGCCCUCUGACAUGGACUGAAGACCAGUGUUUUUCCAGGAUACUGUAGGCCUUCAGCACCAGAUUGGGACCACUGAGGCAUUCAGCUUUGUGGACUGUGGCAGCUACUGGUAUGAGUUCAGAUGGUCAAGUGCCACAGGACCUGUGUGGAGAUCAGAGGACAACUUUUGGGAGUUGGGGAACUCUCCUUCCUCUGUGAGUUCUGGGAAACUCAGUUUGUACAGC